This is a long non-coding RNA of Rosa chinensis, 1307 nucleotides long. RefSeq lists it as uncharacterized. The transcript is spliced from 9 exons. The record is from RefSeq and is a predicted model, not a curated record. Lineage: Eukaryota; Viridiplantae; Streptophyta; Magnoliopsida; Rosales; Rosaceae.
UGACUCACAGCUAAUCAGUAGAGUGCGUCAUUUAGUAUAUACCAAUGAUGAGAGUCACAAAGUGACGCUUUUGGCCUCAUUUGAGAUGUUUUUUUUUUGCGGUUCUGCCACUGAGCUAUGCUUGAUGCUUCCUUCCAUCAGUCUCUUCUUUCUUCUUCUUCUACGGCCAUCGGAUUCUUCUCUCUUCCUGCCCCUAUCGCCAUCGCUCACUCAGUACGACAUCGAAGAAGUUCAGCAACCACACAGCAGGAGAUAGUUUGAAUUGAGUUCCAUCAAGAAUAAGCUAAUGGGUUCCAUCAUUCUUUUUGUGCAGAAAGAUAUUCAAGGGAGGAUUGACAAAGAACAAGCGGUUCUUUGCUUUGUUCAGCUCCCCGGCAUUGGUUACAAUUCUGAGUUCAGUUGCGUCUGAAUUUGGUUUGAAUGUUGGAGCUUUUGGGAUUAAUUUGGGUUUGUUUCUGUUGACAACUACAGAUGCAGAGAGGGAAACUGUAUGUUGGAUAUUAUGCGGCUAUGAAGGGGUUCUCUGCUUUGCUUAUCGGCAUUGAUAUCAGGAACAGUGAGCUGUCAAAAUCUCCAAGUAUUUCAAAUUUAGUGAUGGCAUCGAAAACUGUAGCAAGAGAAACAAAGAGAAUGCUAGGACAGUGUGAUGGCAUUCAGAAUUCUGCUUCAACGAGAAUUGAUAGCUCAAGAAGAUCAAAGAUGUGGAAAACAGUUGAGAGGUGAGAAAAAAGAGGAGAAAGUUGAUACAGGCAAGAAAAGAACUCCCCGGGCAAAGGAGGUUGUUGACAAGGAACUACUGCAGAUUUUAAGAAAUUAAAGUUGAAUCAGCUUUGGAACUGAUUUUGGGCAAUUCUGUUAGGUUUACAGCUGACAAUUGAUCUUUGCUACAAGACCUGCAACUGCCUCUUCAAUCCAAAGAUUCAGAAAUUUGAGGACAUUUUGAAAGAAUUUAUAUCAGCAGACUGACUUCAACUGAAUCAUAUCAUUCACGAGGCAUUAGGCAAGCUAUGUUGCUGCGUUUCCUUACCCCCCACAUUUCUUGGACUGUGGUAGAACUUCAAAAUGGCAAUGAUGCACCGAACCUCAGGAGAGAUCAAAGAUUUUGGUCAAUUUUUGGAGGAAUCUUUAGCAUUGUUUCAGAAGAAGUGGCUGCUAAAAUUUUGAUCCAAAACUGUUUCAUUCAGUUAUCUACAAUUCUGCUCUUGAGUGAGUUUUUUCUUUCUAAAUUUUGUGUAUUAGUAUAUUAACAUGUGAAUGAAAAUAAUUUGGCUUUAAAUAAGUUUCAAUUUGAAUGGAGAUCAAACUAA